This 534-nucleotide long non-coding RNA is filed under the name Solanum tuberosum (potato). RNAcentral's name for it is "long non-coding RNA (STUB_LNC003344)". Lineage: Eukaryota; Viridiplantae; Streptophyta; Magnoliopsida; Solanales; Solanaceae. The record is from RNAcentral.
AAGAUCAUUUACCACCUUUGGAAAUUGUUUUAUAGUAGAAACUCAGAAAGGAUAUCGUAGACGAACGAAGGGCUUGCCCUUGAAGAUCAUUUACCAGCUCUGGAAGUUGUUUUAUAGUAGAAACUCAGAAAGAAUAUUAUAGACGAACGAAGGGCUUGCCCUUGAAGAUCAUUUACCAUCAUAGACGAACGAAGGGCUUGCCCUUGAAGAUCAUUUACCAUCAUAGACGAACGAAGGGCUUGCCCUUGAAGAUCAUUUACCAUCAUAGACGAACGAAGGGCUUGCCCUUGAAGAUCAUUUACCAUCAUAGACGAACGAAGGGCUUGCCCUUGAAGAUCAUUUACCAUCAUAGACGAACGAAGGGCUUGCCCUUGAAGAUCAUUUACCAUCAUAGACGAACGAAGGGCUUGCCCUUGAAGAUCAUUUACCACCUCUGGAAGUACAUUGAGUAGAGACUGUAGUAGGAACUCAAAAUGGAUAUCUAAGUCAAGUGAAGGGGUUGAUCAGAUAUCUUAGCGGGAAGAACAGAUCGGA